This 211-nucleotide ribosomal RNA is filed under the name uncultured bacterium. RNAcentral's name for it is "partial 16S ribosomal RNA". It matches the Rfam family "Bacterial small subunit ribosomal RNA", at positions 1290 to 1500 of the family's 1533-position model. The record is from RNAcentral.
AGUUCGGAUUGUAGUCUGCAACCCGACUACAUGAAGCUGGAAUCGCUAGUAAUCGCGAAUCAGAAUGUCGCGGUGAAUACGUUCCCGGGUCUUGUACACACCGCCCGUCACACCAUGGGAGUCGGAAAUGCCCGAAGUCUGUGACCCAACCUACGGGAGGGAGCAGCCGAAGGCAGGUCGGAUGACUGGGGUGAAGUCGUAACAAGGUACC